RNAcentral lists this ribosomal RNA (433 nucleotides) under uncultured soil bacterium. RNAcentral's name for it is "bacterial SSU rRNA". It matches the Rfam family "Bacterial small subunit ribosomal RNA", at positions 26 to 469 of the family's 1533-position model. The record is from RNAcentral.
AGGACGAACGCUGGCGGCGUGCUUAACACAUGCAAGUCAAGGGGGCCCAGCAAUGGGCAACCGGCGAACGGGUGCGUAACACGUGAGCAACCUACCGAACUGUGGGGGAUAGCCGGCCUAACGGCCGAGUAAUACCGCAUACGCUCUCAGGGAGGCAUUUCUUUGAGAGGAAACCUACGGGACAGAUCGAGGGGCUCGCGGCCUAUCAGCUAGUUGGCGAGGUAACGGCUCACCAAGGCAACGACGGGUAGCUGGCCUGAGAGGAUGGCCAGCCACAUUGGGACUGAGAUACGGCCCAGACUCCUACGGAGGCAGCAGUGGGAAUCUUGCGCAAUGGCCUAACGGCUGACGCAGCGACGCCGCGUGUGGAUGAAGCUCUUCGGAGUUACGUAAACCACGUCGUUCGACCCGGAACGAAUAGCUUACGAUUUAA